GCAAAUCCUGGCUCACCCCUCACUAGUCACAUAUCAAAUCCUGUCUCACCCCUCACUAGUCACAUAUCAAAUCCUGUCUCACCCCCUUACUAGUCACAUAUCAAAUCCUGGCUCACCCCUCACUAGUCACAUAUCAAAUCCUGUCUCAUCCCUCACUAGUCACAUAUCAAAUCUUGGCUAACCCCUUACUAGUCACAUCGAAUCCUGGCUCGCCCCCUUACUAGUCACAUACCAAAUCCUGGCUCGUCCCCUUACUAGUCACAUAUCAAAUCCUGGCUUGUCCCCUUGCUAGUCACAUAUCAAAUCCUGGCCGACCCCUUACUAGUCCCGUAUCAAAUCCUGGCUGACCCCUUACUAGUCACACAUUGAAUCCUGGCUCACCCCUCACUAGGCACAUAUCCUUGGGCCUGUCACUUACCCUCUUUGAGCCUCCAAGUCCCAUCCACUAAACGGAGCUCAACUUAGCAGGAAUUUCAUCCGAUGAGAUAAUGUAUCCAGGACACAGUAAAUACGCAGUUACCUUUUCCUUCCCACCCCACCAACAAAUACAGAUAGCACUGAAUCGCCCAGGCCCUCUCAUG
This 581-nucleotide long non-coding RNA is filed under the name Pan troglodytes (chimpanzee). RNAcentral describes it as "long non-coding RNA NONPTRT006589". The record is from RNAcentral. Lineage: Eukaryota; Metazoa; Chordata; Mammalia; Primates; Hominidae.